UGGGGAAUUUUGGACAAUGGGCGAAAGCCUGAUCCAGCAAUGCCGCGUGUGUGAAGAAGGCCUUCGGGUUGUAAAGCACUUUUGUCCGGAAAGAAAUCCUUGGCUCUAAUACAGUCGGGGGAUGACGGUACCGGAAGAAUAAGCACCGGCUAACUACGUGCCAGCAGCCGCGGUAAUACGUAGGGUGCAAGCGUUAAUCGGAAUUACUGGGCGUAAAGCGUGCGCAGGCGGUUUGCUAAGACCGAUGUGAAAUCCCCGGGCUCAACCUGGGAACUGCAUUGGUGACUGGCAGGCUAGAGUAUGGCAGAGGGGGGUAGAAUUCCACGUGUAGCAGUGAAAUGCGUAGAGAUGUGGAGGAAUACCGAUGGCGAAGGCAGCCCCCUGGGCCAAGUACUGACGCUUAUGCACAGAAGAGCGUGGGGAGCAAACAGGAUUAGAUACCCUGGUAGUCCACGCCCUAAAACGAUGUCAACUAGUUGUUGGGGGAUUCAUUUCCUUAGUAACGUAGCUAACGCGUGAAGUUGACCGCCUGGGGAGUACGGUCGCAAGAUUAAAACUCAAAUGAAUUGACGGGGUCAUAGCUGUUUCCU
RNAcentral lists this ribosomal RNA (590 nucleotides) under uncultured bacterium. RNAcentral describes it as "partial 16S ribosomal RNA". It matches the Rfam family "Bacterial small subunit ribosomal RNA", at positions 355 to 1375 of the family's 1533-position model. The record is from RNAcentral.